Brassica rapa (field mustard) is the source of this 1623-nucleotide long non-coding RNA. RefSeq lists it as uncharacterized. The record is from RefSeq and is a predicted model, not a curated record. NCBI's taxonomy places the organism in Eukaryota, Viridiplantae, Streptophyta, Magnoliopsida, Brassicales, Brassicaceae.
CUCAUGAUUACUAAUUGUAGACAAGACCACUGAAACACAAAAGGGUUUGUGGAUUUCUCGAGUCUUGCACGCCAAGUAACUUCAGUGAAACAGGAUCUUAAAUCGAGCGACAUGUCAUCAAGGAACAAAAGGAUGCGUUAAGGUCUUUGACAGCGAGUUACUAAAGCUGGUGGUAGAAGCUAGCAAUCCUCAGAUUAACACUGUGCAGUAUAUGAGAAUCUGUUAGUUCAAUGAGACUUAGAAAGGUCUCUUGAAUUAGUGAGGAGUAUAUAUAGCAGGGGAAUGAGAUUGAUACUCACGGUGCUUGAAGAAAUGUAUACCUGAAAAUUAAAGCGCAGCGAUGAGGAAAGAAGCUUGAAAUGAGAAACUGAUGAUAUUACAAAUGAUGCAUCUCUCACACCAUGGUUUUAUAUAGUAAACCAAGAUUCCACUGUUACAAAGCAAGGACACAUGAAAGACCUAACUUUUACUGCAGCAGAGCAGCCAAAAGGAGCGACAUGUCUUAUCAAGAGCAGUCAAAUGAGAAUGAAAGCCUCUUAUAGCUAAACUGUUGUCUGUUUCUUCUAUACAUGUGUUUUGGCAUCUGUCUUAGUCUGUGGAUAUUGUUUUCUAUAAUAAUUUAGCUCUCUCAACGCAGCAGGAUGUGAUUAAUUAGGUUAAAAGGCAUGAUACUUUUUCUAUCAACAUGAUAAGAAACCUCUUAGUGAGCACUCUUUUUAAAAAAUUGCGCAUGCUAGUAACACAAAUCAAGCCUAAAUUAUCAACGCAUCCCAUUUGCAAAAGGGUGAAAUUCGUGAAGAAAAGUAAUCACAGAGCUACAAAACCAUAGCAAAUCUCCUUUAAUGUACUUAUAAAACCUUAAGAAAAUCUCAUCAAUUCUGUUGUAACUUGUAAGUAAUAGAAAAUUACAUUACUUAGAGCAUCAGCAUUGGUUUGGUUUCUUAAAUCUAAUUUCUCACUUUAUUAUUCUUAUAUAACUUUAUUUUACACUUAAGUUUUGUCAUUGUCAAAAAGUGUAUACCAUUAAAAAAAGAAGACAAGUGGAGAAAGUCUCUACAAUAAACAAAAAAGUCUCUUCUCCUCUAUCUUGUUUUUUACUUUAUCUUUUGGACUUUCUGAAUUUUUUAUAUGUUUUAGUUGUAGAGAAGCGGUGCUAGAGACUUCAGCUGCGCUUGCCCUUAUUCUCUGUUCAUGCAGAGAUCAAAGUGAAAGUUCACAGUCUUAAUCCUCCAGGAAGAUGCACAUUUAUCUUUACAAGCUGCAGAUCUCCCAUAAACAAUUAGAAGUCUCUAUGUUCCAUAUACAUAUCAACACUCUAUUUAUGUUGAAGGCAUGAGAGAGGGAGCAUCUCUUUUAACACAAGGCUGAUAAAUGAUAAUGACAAGGAGAAUGAUUUCAAAACAAGCAGGUUUAUUUGCAUGGGAUACAUUUCUCUGGACGUUCUUGAACAGUGGUUGAGAAACAGGGGAACUACUACAUUAUUAUUCAAGAUCAAGGAAAAAAAUAAAACAGCAACAUCAUCAAAUAUAAAGUAGUAUCCAUCAUAAAGACUACUAGAAGCUAUAGGACACUUAAAACUAUACUGAGCACACACUGCAUAGGAUAAUUAACUAAGAUUGUUUU